UCAAACUUGGUCAUUUAGAGGAAGUAAAAGUCGUAACAAGGUUUCCGUAGGUGAACCUGCGGAAGGAUCAUUAAUGUGAUGGAUGUGCUAGUCUUGACCUCUUAAUCCUCCUUCAAUUUAUUGUUAGGUGGGGGCCUGACGGCUCAAGGGGAAAGGAAAUAAGAACCCGUUCGGGUGUGCACUCCGAUACAAUCCAAUUUCUCUCAUACCUUGUGCAUCGUUGCCUGCUGAGCAUGAAAGGAGUGUUGAAAUAACAUUCUUGAUUGAGCCUGCAGGAUCUUCUAUCACAAUCUUUUAAAGAAUGUAUUUUUAGCUUAAAUGCAAAUGUAAUACAACUUUCAACAAUGGAUCUCUUGGCUCUUGCAUCGAUGAAGAACGCAGC
Molecule: unclassified non-coding RNA, 382 nt
Filed under: uncultured fungus
Lineage: Eukaryota; Fungi
Description: partial contains small subunit ribosomal RNA, internal transcribed spacer 1, and 5.8S ribosomal RNA
Rfam family: Eukaryotic small subunit ribosomal RNA (bases 1-73)
Source: RNAcentral